RNAcentral lists this ribosomal RNA (494 nucleotides) under uncultured Alphaproteobacteria bacterium. RNAcentral describes it as "bacterial SSU rRNA". It matches the Rfam family "Bacterial small subunit ribosomal RNA", at positions 9 to 524 of the family's 1533-position model. Lineage: Bacteria; Pseudomonadati; Pseudomonadota; Alphaproteobacteria. The record is from RNAcentral.
GAGUUUGAUCGUGGCUCAGGAUGAACGCUAGCGGCAGGCUUAACACAUGCAAGUCGAACGAACCCUUCGGGGUUAGUGGCGGACGGGUGAGUAACACGUGGGAACGUACCCUUAGGUUCGGAAUAACUCAGGGAAACUUGAGCUAAUACCGAAUGUGCCCUUCGGGGGAAAGAUUUAUCGCCUUUGGAGCGGCCCGCGUCUGAUUAGCUAGUUGGUGAGGUAAAGGCUCACCAAGGCUACGAUCAGUAGCUGGUCUGAGAGGAUGACCAGCCACACUGGGACUGAGACACGGCCCAGACUCCUACGGGAGGCAGCAGUGGGGAAUCUUGCGCAAUGGGCGAAAGCCUGACGCAGCCAUGCCGCGUGGAUGAUGAAGGUCUUAGGAUUGUAAAGCACUUUAAGUUGGGAGGAAGGGCAGUAAGCUAAUACCUUGCUGUUUUGACGUUACCGACAGAAUAAGCACCGGCUAACUCUGUGCCAGCCGCCGCAGUAAG